GCGAGGUUGGCAGAAAAAUGUGAUUGGCUUAGGACCACUUUAUGUGGGGAUAUCCCACACCUCGCU
Molecule: transfer RNA, 66 nt
Filed under: Nipponacmea sp. JM-2022
Lineage: Eukaryota; Metazoa; Mollusca; Gastropoda; Lottiidae
Description: tRNA-Leu
Source: RNAcentral